UCAUGUAUCUGUAGCUAGUUCUGAAGGAUCUCCCCUUGAUGACCUUUGCAUUGUUGUGAUGUAAAAGUCCCUCACUACUGUGCACUGGUCAUGAGGAGAACUACUGCAGAUUGAGAUACUAUAUUCCCGGUUCUAUUUUUACUAUUUUUUAGUUUCCAUAUUUUAAAAUAAACUUAAUAUCAUAUCCUUUUAAUAUUAAAUCGGCC
This 206-nucleotide long non-coding RNA is filed under the name Mytilus galloprovincialis (Mediterranean mussel). Lineage: Eukaryota; Metazoa; Mollusca; Bivalvia; Mytilida; Mytilidae. The record is from RNAcentral.